RNAcentral lists this microRNA precursor (66 nucleotides) under Stegodyphus mimosarum. RNAcentral describes it as "mir-2 microRNA precursor". It matches the Rfam family "mir-2 microRNA precursor family". From Rfam's summary of the family: The miRNAs are transcribed as ~70nt precursors (modelled here) and subsequently processed by the Dicer enzyme to give a ~22nt product. In this case the mature sequence comes from the 3' arm of the precursor. Lineage: Eukaryota; Metazoa; Arthropoda; Arachnida; Araneae; Eresidae. The record is from Rfam by way of RNAcentral.
UGAUAUGUCAAAGUAGUAGUGAAAUGUAUUAUUAAUUCAUAUCACAGCUAUCUUUGACAUGUCAAA